CAGCCGCCGCGGGAAUACAGAGGGUGCAAGCGUUAAUCGGAAUUACUGGGCGUAAAGCGCGCGUAGGUGGUUCGUUAAGUUGGAUGUGAAAUCCCCGGGCUCAACCUGGGAACUGCAUUCAAAACUGACGAGCUAGAGUGUGGUAGAGGGUGGUGGAAUUCCCGGUGUAGCGGUGAAAUGCGUAGAGAUCGGGAGGAAUACCGGUGGCGAAGGCGGCCCCCUGGACGAAGACUGACGCUCAGGUACGAAAGCGUGGGGAGCAAACAGGAUUAGAUACCCCGGUAGUCCCUGUCUCUUAUAC
This 301-nucleotide ribosomal RNA is filed under the name uncultured bacterium. Its description in RNAcentral is "partial 16S ribosomal RNA". It matches the Rfam family "Bacterial small subunit ribosomal RNA", at positions 509 to 807 of the family's 1533-position model. The record is from RNAcentral.